ACGCAGGUUCUGCUAGAAGAGAUCCGUCGGUACGAGCAGAACCGAGCGAGCAGAACCCCCUUCCUUAUCCGCAUUGUCGUCCAUCCCAAUGACAGAGAUUCUACCAAGGCUUUUCAGACUGCCCAGAAUGCUUUGCAUCUCAGAGGGUUCGUAUUGGGUGCUCGACCAGAGCAAGACAUCAGGAUUGUGCUGCUGGGAAAACCGGAG
Molecule: long non-coding RNA, 207 nt
Organism: Coregonus clupeaformis (lake whitefish)
Lineage: Eukaryota; Metazoa; Chordata; Actinopteri; Salmoniformes; Salmonidae
Exons: 3
Source: RefSeq, a predicted model, not a curated record